RNAcentral lists this ribosomal RNA (445 nucleotides) under uncultured bacterium. RNAcentral describes it as "bacterial SSU rRNA". It matches the Rfam family "Bacterial small subunit ribosomal RNA", at positions 330 to 792 of the family's 1533-position model. The record is from RNAcentral.
CCCAGACUCCUACGGGAGGCAGCAGUGGGGAAUAUUGCACAAUGGGGGAAACCCUGAUGCAGCGACGCCGCGUGAGCGAAGAAGUAUUUCGGUAUGUAAAGCUCUAUCAGCAGGGAAGAAAAUGACGGUACCUGACUAAGAAGCCCCGGCUAAAUACGUGCCAGCAGCCGCGGUAAUACGUAGGGGGCAAGCGUUAUCCGGAUUUACUGGGUGUAAAGGGAGCGUAGACGGUUAUGUAAGUCUGGAGUGAAAGCCCGGGGCCCAACCCCGGGACUGCUUUGGAAACUGUGUAACUGGAGUACAGGAGGGGCAGGCGGAAUUCCUGGUGUAGCGGUGAAAUGCGUAGAUAUUAGGAGGAACACCAGUGGCGAAGGCGGCUUGCUGGACGACAACUGACGCUGAGGCUCGAAAGCGUGGGGAGCAAACAGGAUUAGAUACCCCUGUA